GUGCACCAGGCGAGAAUCCUUCGCAAUGCGGGAAACCGCGACGAGGGGACUCCCAGUGCCUACGCUCAGCGUAGGCUGUUCCCGAGCCUAGAAAGCUCGGGGAGUAAGGGCUGGGUAAGACGGGUGCCAGCCGCCGCGGUAAUACCCGCAGCCCGAGUGGUGGCCACUAUUAUUGGGCCUAAAGCGUCCGUAGCCGGCCCGGUAAAUGCCUGGGUAAAUCGUGAGGCCUAACCUCACGAAUUCCGGGUAGACUGCCGGGCUAGGGGACCGGAGGAGGGAGAGGGGUACUCCAGGGGUAGGGGUGAAAUCCUGUAAUCCCUGGAGGACCACCGGUGGCGAAGGCGCUCUCCUAGGACGGGUCCGACGGUGAGGGACGAAAGCCAGGGGAGCGAACCGGAUUAGAUACCCCUGUAGU
This 415-nucleotide ribosomal RNA is filed under the name uncultured microorganism. Its description in RNAcentral is "bacterial SSU rRNA". It matches the Rfam family "Archaeal small subunit ribosomal RNA", at positions 330 to 745 of the family's 1478-position model. The record is from RNAcentral.